GAUGAAGAACGCAGCGAAAUGCGAUAAGUAAUGUGAAUUGCAGAAUUCAGUGAAUCAUCGAAUCUUUGAACGCACCUUGCGCUCUUUGGUAUUCCGAAGAGCAUGCCUGUUUGAGUGUCAUGAAAAUAUCAACCUUGACUUGGGUUUUGUGCUCUAGUCUCGGCUUGGAAUUGGGUGCUUGCCGCUUUUACGAGCGGCUCACCUUAAAUGUAUUAGCUGGAUCUGUCUUUGAGACUUGGUUUGACUUGGCGUAAUAAGUAUUUCGCUAAGGACAUUCUUCGGAGUGGCCUCGUUUCUAGGACGCUUGUCCGCUUUCCAAUACAAGUUCCACCUCGUGGACAUGACUUUUUAUUAUCUGGCCUCAAAUCAGGUAGGACUACCCGCUGAACUUAAGCAUACAAUAAGCGGAGGA
This 412-nucleotide unclassified non-coding RNA is filed under the name soil metagenome. Its description in RNAcentral is "partial contains 5.8S ribosomal RNA, internal transcribed spacer 2, and large subunit ribosomal RNA". The stretch from base 1 to 120 matches the Rfam family "5.8S ribosomal RNA", at positions 35 to 154 of the family's 154-position model. The record is from RNAcentral.